AACGAACGCUGGCGGCAGGCUUAACACAUGCAAGUCGAACGGGUGUAGCAAUACAUCAGUGGCAGACGGGUGAGUAACACGUGGGAACCUUCCUAGGGGUACGGAACGACUCAGGGAAACUUGAGCUAAUACCGUAUACGUCCGUGAGGAGAAAGAUUUAUCGCCCUUAGACGGGCCCGCGUCGGAUUAGCUAGUUGGUGGGGUAACGGCCUACCAGGGCGACGAUCCGUAGCUGAUCUUAGAGGAUGAUCAGCCACACUGGGACUGAGACACGGCCCAGACUCCUACGGGAGGCAGCAGUGGGGAAUCUUGGACAAUGGGCGCAAGCCUGAUCCAGCCAUGCCGCGUGAGUGAAGAAGGUCUUCGGAUUGUAAAGCUCUUUUGCCAGGGACGAUAAUGACGGUACCUGGAGAAUAAGCCCCGGCAAACUUCGUGCCAGCCGCCGCCGUAA
This 451-nucleotide ribosomal RNA is filed under the name uncultured bacterium. RNAcentral's name for it is "partial 16S ribosomal RNA". It matches the Rfam family "Bacterial small subunit ribosomal RNA", at positions 29 to 523 of the family's 1533-position model. The record is from RNAcentral.